CGGAACACGUACGCAACCUUCCUUUAACUGGAGGAUAGCCCCUCGAAAGAGGGAUUAAUACUCCGUAACAUAAUCGAUGUGGCAUCACAUUAUUAUUAUAGCUCCGGCGGUUAAAGAUGGGCGUGCGCCUGAUUAGAUAGUUGGCGGGGUAACGGCCCACCAAGUCUGCGAUCAGUAACUGGUGUGAGAGCACGACCAGUCACACGGGCACUGAGACACGGGCCCG
This 226-nucleotide ribosomal RNA is filed under the name uncultured bacterium. Its description in RNAcentral is "partial 16S ribosomal RNA". It matches the Rfam family "Bacterial small subunit ribosomal RNA", at positions 109 to 334 of the family's 1533-position model. The record is from RNAcentral.